UUCCUGGUGGUCUAGUGGUUAAGACUCUGUGUUUCUGCUGCAGGAAGCAAAGGUUCGAUCCCUAGUUAGGGAA
This 73-nucleotide transfer RNA is filed under the name Bos taurus (domestic cattle). It matches the Rfam family "tRNA". From Rfam's summary of the family: Transfer RNA (tRNA) molecules are approximately 80 nucleotides in length. Their secondary structure includes four short double-helical elements and three loops (D, anti-codon, and T loops). Lineage: Eukaryota; Metazoa; Chordata; Mammalia; Artiodactyla; Bovidae. The record is from Rfam by way of RNAcentral. RNAcentral also lists the same sequence under 3 other names.